Wasmannia auropunctata (little fire ant) is the source of this 613-nucleotide RNA transcript. It is a transcript of the gene named reactive oxygen species modulator 1, with no coding region annotated. Lineage: Eukaryota; Metazoa; Arthropoda; Insecta; Hymenoptera; Formicidae. The record is from RefSeq and is a predicted model, not a curated record. The transcript is spliced from 4 exons.
AGCAGACGGCGCAACCGUCUUUUCGCUCACGUUGCGAAACCGUCAUGGCGCCUUCCCGAUAUCGCGAUACAAGUGCAAUGAGUUAAGAGGCUCCGGCGAUUGCACCAAGAUCGCGAUCAAGUUCCAAAAUUGAAAAGUAAGAAUAAAAUCAUCCCCGAUCAGCCGCGCGCGCCGCAAGAUUACGUAACGGACACACCUUAACAGCCGCAAGAUGCCCGUGGUACCCGGAGGAGCCUAUCAACAAGGACCCUCUUGCUUCGAUAGAAUGAAAUUAGGCUUCACAAUUGGAUUUUGCGUGGGGAUGGCCUCCGGUGCGCUCUUCGGAGGAUUUUCCGCUCUUAGAUAUGGACUGAGAGGAAGGGAAUUGCUAAACAGCGUCGGCAAGGUGAUGCUUCAGGGUGGCGGCACAUUCGGAACGUUUAUGGCUAUCGGCACGGGGAUACGAUGCUAGUGCGUGGGCGGAGCUACGUUACGGAGUAUCUCGCAGCCCCUCUUUUUUUUCUGUUGCAACUGUUUGUAUUGAUUCGUUUUCCCCGGGAUGUUGAGCCCGAAACUCAAGUGUCUGAUAUUGUGCGUCAUAUUGAAGUGGGACGAAGUGUAAGGUUGAACGUCG